GACGAACGCUGGCGGCGUGCUUAACACAUGCAAGUCGAGCGGUAAGGCCCUUUCGGGGGUACACGAGCGGCGAACGGGUGAGUAACACGUGGGUGACCUGCCCUCAGCUCUGGGAUAAGCCUGGGAAACCGGGUCUAAUACCGGAUAUGACUCCAUGACGCAUGUUGUGGGGUGGAAAAGACCUUGUGCGGCUGAGGAUGGGCCCGCGGCCUAUCAGCUUGUUGGUGGGGUGAUGGCCUACCAAGGCGACGACGGGUAGCCGGCCUGAGAGGGCGACCGGCCACACUGGGACUGAGACACGGCCCAGACUCCUACGGGAGGCAGCAGUGGGGAAUCUUGCGCAAUGGGCGAAAGCCUGACGCAGCGACGCCGCGUGA
RNAcentral lists this ribosomal RNA (377 nucleotides) under uncultured bacterium. RNAcentral's name for it is "bacterial SSU rRNA". It matches the Rfam family "Bacterial small subunit ribosomal RNA", at positions 28 to 404 of the family's 1533-position model. The record is from RNAcentral.